RNAcentral lists this small RNA (586 nucleotides) under Pan troglodytes (chimpanzee). RNAcentral describes it as "processed transcript". The record is from RNAcentral. Lineage: Eukaryota; Metazoa; Chordata; Mammalia; Primates; Hominidae.
ACAUCCUGUACGACGUCGGGGUCUACGGCUGCCAGGGCUGCUGCAGCUUCAAGUGUCUCAACAGCGGCCUCCUCUUUGCCAGCCGCUACCCCAUCAUGGACGUGGCCUAUCACUGUUACCCCAACAAGUGUAACGACGAUGCCCUGGCCUCUAAGGGAGCUCUGUUUCUCAAGGUGCAGGUGGGAAGCACACCUCAGGACCAAAGAAUCGUCGGGUACAUCGCCUGCACACACCUGCAUGCCCCGCAAGAGGACAGCGCCAUCCGGUGUGGGCAGCUGGACCUGCUUCAGGACUGGCUGGCUGAUUUCCGAAAAUCUACCUCCUCGUCCAGCGCAGCCAACCCCGAGGAGCUGGUGGCAUUUGACGUCGUCUGCGGAGAUUUCAACUUUGAUAACUGCUCCUCUGAAAUCCUAGAACAGGAAGAGCCCACGCUCUGCCUAGAAAGCUGGAGACAGAGAUGCCCUAAAAACGAACCUCUGACAAGGAAGGCUGGGGGCCUCUGAAGCAGACAAAGGACGAGUCCACUAGUAACACCCAUCAACGGGGCGCCGCGCUCUUGCUUCGAGCCAGCUGCCAUUCUAUCGCU